CAAGACAAACACUAAACAGCCUCUGCCCUGAAAGGACUUAAGACCUAUUUGGAUGGGGAAAAAAAGAGAGAAGGAAAUUGAAGUGAAUGGAGGAGGCUUAGCAAUUGACCCAGGGUCCCCUGAUGCUAAGUGAUGCUCAGUUUGGUUUCAUCUGCUACUGAGAGAGAAGACGUUCACAUAUCUUUUGUAAAAUAGCCUUACAGAAAAAGGAGGGAGACAGAACAGAGAGAUAAAGAGAGCUCUUGAUUGCAGAUGGGACCUUAAAUCAGCAAGAAGGUCUGCUUGGCCUCUUCACUUAAUGGAUAAUAGAAAUCAUCUAUUCCAUUUUCAGUCU
This 334-nucleotide long non-coding RNA is filed under the name Monodelphis domestica (gray short-tailed opossum). RNAcentral's name for it is "lncRNA (ENSMODG00000051354.1)". Lineage: Eukaryota; Metazoa; Chordata; Mammalia; Didelphimorphia; Didelphidae. The record is from RNAcentral.